UGAGUAAGCCGGAUGAACGCAGGCUGUGAGCGAAAGCUCUUGUCUGAGGAAAGUCCGGGCUCCAUAGGGCAGGAUGCCGGCUAACGGCCGGUGAGGGCGACCUUAAGGAUAGUGCCACAGAAAUAAACCGCCCGGGGCAAAGACUUGUCUUUGUUUCGGGUAAGGGUGCAACGGUGCGGUAAGAGCGCACCAGCGGCCGGGAGACCGGCCGGCUAGGUAAACCCCAUCCGGAGCAAAACCGUACAGAGGAGCUGGAAAGCGGCCCGCUUAGUUCCUCGCAGAGGUUGCUUGAGCCCAUUGGCAACAAUGUGGCCAGAUAGAUGUUCAUCUAAGACAGAACCCGGCUUACAGACUUGCUCGGCUU
Molecule: RNase P RNA, 364 nt
Filed under: Clostridia bacterium
Lineage: Bacteria; Bacillati; Bacillota; Clostridia
Description: RNase P RNA component class A
Rfam family: Bacterial RNase P class A
About the family: Ribonuclease P (RNase P) is a ubiquitous endoribonuclease, found in archaea, bacteria and eukarya as well as chloroplasts and mitochondria. Its best characterised activity is the generation of mature 5'-ends of tRNAs by cleaving the 5'-leader elements of precursor-tRNAs. Cellular RNase Ps are ribonucleoproteins.
Source: RNAcentral